CGUGCGCCAGGCGGUGCGGCGUCCACCGCGUCUCCCGGGACGACCUCGGGCGCUUCCCUCUCCCAGCGGUUAAUUGGAUUCGGGAGGGGGGAGUGUCAGUCUACCGCAGGGGCCAAUCGAAGGUCUGGAAAGCCCUAUAUGCAAAUAAGAGGGCCGGGCGGACCCCAAGUUAGGAGGGGCGCGGGUUGGGGUUAGAGGUUGUUUGGCAGCCAAUGGGAGGGUGUCUCCUUAAUCCUUCGAGGAGGGGACCCGCAAGUGUGGUUGCCAGCGGUACGGGCGGCAGAGCAGGGGCGAGAGGAAUCGCUGAUGAUUGGUGAUCAAUCUGUCCAGCUGCCGAUAUGAGAGUGGUAAGCAUCUGCAUUUAAGGGAUCCACCGGGGGACCCACUGGAUUCCCCCAAAGAGUUGGGAAGCAUCAUUCAUAUAUUCCUGAGGAUGGAAAGGGGUGUCUUCAGAUCCUGC
This 460-nucleotide long non-coding RNA is filed under the name Sus scrofa (pig). RNAcentral describes it as "lncRNA (ENSSSCG00030059836.1)". Lineage: Eukaryota; Metazoa; Chordata; Mammalia; Artiodactyla; Suidae. The record is from RNAcentral.